GCCUCUGUAGCUCAGUUGGUUAGAGCGUUGUACCGGAAUCGCAGGGCCGUAGGUUCAAUUCCUACCAGAGGAC
This is a non-coding RNA of Paramuricea clavata, 73 nucleotides long. NCBI's taxonomy places the organism in Eukaryota, Metazoa, Cnidaria, Anthozoa, Malacalcyonacea, Plexauridae. The record is from the annotation of a GenBank genome assembly.